UGCAGGAUCUCUAGCAGUAGAGUAGCCUUGUUGCUACGAUCUGCUGAGGCUUAGCCUUUGUUCUACAGAUUUGUGCUUUUGCACUCUCUAUGAAUAUUUCGGACUGGAGGGUUACGACUCUGGCGGUGGUAUUCAUAGACAGUCAAUCACACAAGUCCGGAGAAUAAGUCGAAGCUAAGAUAAGAUUAAGCAACUGGAAUCAGUAGUAGUGAGACAAAGGUACCGGGCAAUGAAUACAUUGAAUCUGUAAUGGGUGUUCCCAAUGGCAAGAGGUGUCGCUACAGAUUCCGGUCAAGUCCUGUUACACUUCCGUCAAGUGUCAGACCACCUGUAGUCAAGUCCGCUGCAAGUAUGCAUUCUGUCUAGCUGUUCACAGAUGGUCAAUCAUCAGUGCGGACGGGUUAGUCAGACAUGAAUGGAAUCCCUUUGGGUGACCAACAGUCUUCGCGAUAACGUCUACAGAUUCCAUACAUUCUACUAGGCUGAGUCUAGAUCAUGUCUAAGUUCAACAAUGAACUUGCGUGUUCUGGGCUCAGCCAUUUCGCGUACUCUGAUAUUGGUCCGAGGUGAUCAAAAGGACUAGAAGAGUAUACUAGUAUCUACGGCCAUAGGACUCAGAAAAUACCGCAUCCCGUCCGAUCUGCAAAGUCCAACCUAAAAGAAGCGA
RNAcentral lists this unclassified non-coding RNA (667 nucleotides) under Apiotrichum gracile. The record is from RNAcentral. Lineage: Eukaryota; Fungi; Basidiomycota; Tremellomycetes; Trichosporonales; Trichosporonaceae.